Small nuclear RNA from Mirounga angustirostris (Northern elephant seal), 107 nucleotides. The record is from RefSeq and is a predicted model, not a curated record. NCBI's taxonomy places the organism in Eukaryota, Metazoa, Chordata, Mammalia, Carnivora, Phocidae.
GUGCUCACUUCGGCAGCGCAUAUACUAAAAUUGGAAUGACACACAGAAGAUUAGCAUGGUCCCUGCACAAGGAUGACAUGCAAAUUCGUGAAGCGUUCCAUAUUUUU